Molecule: ribosomal RNA, 416 nt
Filed under: uncultured bacterium
Lineage: Bacteria
Description: bacterial SSU rRNA
Rfam family: Bacterial small subunit ribosomal RNA
Source: RNAcentral
CUUAACUGUGGAGGGUCAUUUGAAACUGUCUGACUAGAGUACGGUAGAGGUAAGUGGAAUUCAAUGUGUAGCGGUAAAAUGCGUAGAUAUAUUGAGGAACACCAGUGGCGAAGGCGGCUUACUGGACCGGAACUGACACUGAGGCACGAAAGCGUGGGUAGCAAACAGGAUUAGAUACCCUGGUAGUCCACGCCGUAAACGAUGAGAACUAAGUGUUGGGGUUGAACCCAGUGCUGAAGUUAACGCAUUAAGUUCUCCGCCUGGGGAUUACGGCCGCAAGGCUAAAACUCAAAAGAAUUGACGGGUCUCCGCACAAGCGGUGGAGCAUGUUGUUUAAUUCGAAGAUACGCGAAGAACCUCACCAGGUCUUGACAUAUACUUGACGUCCAUGGAAACAUGGAGUCCCUUCGGGGCAG